CGGCGGACGGGUGAGUAGCGCGUGGGUAACCUGCCUCAUACAGGGGGAUAACAGUUAGAAAUGACUGCUAAUACCGCAUAAGACCACAGCACCGCAUGGUGCGGGGUAAAAACUCCGGUGGUAUGAGAUGGACCCGCGUCUGAUUAGCUAGUUGGUAAGGUAACGGCUUACCAAGGCGACGAUCAGUAGCCGACCUGAGAGGGUGACCGGCCACAUUGGGACUGAGACACGGCCCAA
RNAcentral lists this ribosomal RNA (237 nucleotides) under uncultured bacterium. RNAcentral describes it as "partial 16S ribosomal RNA". It matches the Rfam family "Bacterial small subunit ribosomal RNA", at positions 96 to 334 of the family's 1533-position model. The record is from RNAcentral.